Molecule: non-coding RNA, 227 nt
Organism: Pelobates cultripes (western spadefoot toad)
Lineage: Eukaryota; Metazoa; Chordata; Amphibia; Anura; Pelobatidae
Source: the annotation of a GenBank genome assembly
CGCAUUUGUCGGUUCCGGCACACCACAACCGACUUUUUCAUAUUAUUAUAGAUCUCAUAUAGGGACCUUACAUAAUUACUUCUAAUAUGCUCAUUACGGCUUUUGAUGCCACGACCAUAACUUGCUUUACUAUAAAUCUCCAGCAGCACAGAUCAAUCAAGUAAGUUUAAACCAAUCAAAAAUAAGUAACAUCCUAUAUAUAAAAUAGGCUAACUAAGGAAGCCAGC